Long non-coding RNA from Cavia porcellus (domestic guinea pig), 731 nucleotides. RefSeq lists it as uncharacterized. Lineage: Eukaryota; Metazoa; Chordata; Mammalia; Rodentia; Caviidae. The record is from RefSeq and is a predicted model, not a curated record. The transcript has 2 exons.
UAAGAAUAUUAGAUUAGUGAAACAUGUUGUAUGUUUGGCUGUUGUCUUUUAUCCUUCCCCAAGAAAAACUGCCUCGCCCUGAGGCAGUUAAUUUCUCACACUGCUUUUCUUGUGUUUUUUUCAUAUACACUAAUAUUCUAAAUAAAAGGUGGAGUAUUCUUGGCUUGGGGUUUCUCCUGGGAUUCUCCCUAAUAUGGAUGCUCUUGUUUGAGAUAGCCCCUCUGGGCCCUCUCAGUGACUGAACUAAGUCUAGUCUCUGAGUAAUCCUUUUUUUUUUUUUUGGUCUUUUUUUUUUUUAUCAGUACCAGGGAUCAAACUCACGACCACACACUUGCAAGGCAGGCGCUUAUGCCACUGAGCUAAAUCUCCAGCCCCAGUAAUCCUUUAUUUUCUACACUGCUAUGGUUGUACACUGUGACAAUUAGAACAAGAGGGGAAAUGAAUAAAAAUGAGCUCAUGUGAACAGCAUCUUUUAUCUACAGAUUUGGAGACCAGGGAUCAAACAAGUUCAUCUAUAGGCAAGGGCAUUAUUGAAAGUAAUGAUUCUCAUUUGGAAGUAAUGGAAAGCACAUUUGCUGGUCUUGAGAGCCCCAAUUUUAGAAAUGACCGGCAAAGCAAAAGCAAGAUUGAAAUAUGAGGACUUAAAGGGGGAUAUUUCAAUAAAAUAAAAAUAACCUCUGACAAAGAACUCAAUUAUAAAAAUAAAGGAUGUGUUAUGUUACCUAAGAAAA